AGGAUAAUAGUUUAAAAAACAUUUAAUUUGCAUUUAAAAUUUAUUGGUCUCCAAUUUAUCUUA
This 63-nucleotide transfer RNA is filed under the name Setarhynchus sp. AH-2016. RNAcentral describes it as "tRNA-Ala". It matches the Rfam family "tRNA". From Rfam's summary of the family: Transfer RNA (tRNA) molecules are approximately 80 nucleotides in length. Their secondary structure includes four short double-helical elements and three loops (D, anti-codon, and T loops). The record is from RNAcentral. Lineage: Eukaryota; Metazoa; Arthropoda; Insecta; Coleoptera; Curculionidae.